GUCUGAACAUGGGGGGACCACCCUCCAAGCCUAAAUACUCGCACAUGACCGAUAGCGAACACAGUACCGUGAGGGAAAGGUGAAAAGCACCCCGAUUAGGGGAGUGAAACAGUACCUGAAACCGGAUGCUUACAAGCAGUUGGAGCCCCAUAGGGGGUGACAGCGUACCUCUUGCAUAAUGGGUCAGUGACUUAAUUUAUCGAGCAAGCUUAAGCCGUUAGGUGUAGGCGUAGCGAAAGCGAGUCUGAAUAGGGCGAUUCAGUCGCAUGUCCUAGACCCGAAGCGAAGUGAUCUAUCCAUGGCCAGGUUGAAGCACGUGUAAGAGCGUGUGGAGGACCGAACCCACUUAGGUUGAAAACUGAGGGGAUGAGCUGUGGAUAGGGGUGAAAGGCCAAUCAAACUUCGUGAUAGCUGGUUCUCUCCGAAAUGCAUUUAGGUGCAGCGUCGUGUGUUUCUCACCGGAGGUAGAGCACUGGAUGGCCUAGGGGGCCGACAAGCUUACCGAAGUCAGCCAAACUCCGAAUGCCGGUGAGUGAGAGCGCGGCAGUGAGACUGCGGGGGAUAAGCUUCGUGGUCGAGAGGGAAACAGCCCAGAUCACCGGCUAAGGCCCCUAAGCGUGCGCUAAGUGGGAAAGGAUGUGGGAUCGCCCGGACAACCAGGAGGUUGGCUUAGAAGCAGCCACCCUUGAAAGAGUGCGUAAUAGCUCACUGGUCAAGUGAUUCCGCGCCGACAAUGUAACGGGGCUCAAGCACGCCACCGAAGUUGUGGCAUUGACAUUAUUGGUAGGCCUUCGUGGUCCAGCCGUGUUGAUGGGUAGGAGAGCGUCGUGUGGCCAGCGAAGCGGCGGUGUAAACCAGCCGUGGAGGCUACACGAGUGAGAAUGCAGGCAUGAGUAGCGAAUGCAGAGUGAGAAUCUCUGCCGCCGGAUGACCAAGGGUUCCUGGGCCAGGUUGUUCCGCCCAGGGUGAGCCGGGACCUAAGGCGAGGCCGUCAGGCGUAGUCGAUGGACAACGGGUUGAUAUUCCCGUGCUCGUGAUAGUGCGUCCAUGCCGAGGCUGGUGAUGCUAACCAUCCGAACCCACCUUCGCUCCUUCGGGAGUGUUGUUUGUGGGGGAGCGUGGGAUCCGAUCUGGUAGUAGGCAAGUGAUGGGGUGACGCAGGAGGGUAGCUCCGCCACGCGGUGGUUGUCGUGGUGUAAGCCUGUAGCCCGAGUCCUAGGUAAAUCCGGGGCUCAUUAAAGGGUGAGAGGUGAUGCGUAGCCGAUUGAGGCGAAGAGAGUGAUCCCAUGCUGUCGAGAAAAGCCUCUAGCGAGUGCUGUUGCGGCCCGUACCCCAAACCGACACAGGUGGUCAGGUAGAGAAUACCGAGGCGAUCGAGCGAACUGUGGUUAAGGAAUUCGGCAAAAUACCUCCGUAACUUCGGGAGAAGGAGGGCCGGU
This 1439-nucleotide ribosomal RNA is filed under the name Durinskia baltica. RNAcentral describes it as "partial Bacterial large subunit ribosomal RNA". It matches the Rfam family "Bacterial large subunit ribosomal RNA", at positions 436 to 1755 of the family's 2925-position model. Lineage: Eukaryota; Dinophyceae; Peridiniales; Kryptoperidiniaceae. The record is from RNAcentral.